This 75-nucleotide transfer RNA is filed under the name Cyrtopodion scabrum. RNAcentral describes it as "tRNA-Ala". Lineage: Eukaryota; Metazoa; Chordata; Lepidosauria; Squamata; Gekkonidae. The record is from RNAcentral.
GGAGGCCUUAGCUUAUUUUAAAGUGUCUGAGUUGCAGUCAGGAGAUGUAGUAGAAUUACAGGUCUUCCAGGAAUU